Molecule: ribosomal RNA, 106 nt
Filed under: uncultured bacterium
Lineage: Bacteria
Description: partial 16S ribosomal RNA
Rfam family: Bacterial small subunit ribosomal RNA
Source: RNAcentral
CCUUGUACACACCGCCCGUCACACCAUGGGAGUCGAUUGCUCCAGAAGUGGCUACGCCAACCCGUAAGGGAGGCAGGCCCCCAAGGAGUGGUUGGUAACUGGGGUG